GCCAUAGCUGCUGCCCCUGUCAUACCAGCAUGAGGUGUGGGGUGGGCAGAGGAAGCGAGCGGGGAGGGAGGAAGGGAGCAUGCAGCUGCCAUGUAGGCGCUGUGCAGCAUGGCACCAAAAGACCCACGAUUUUCUGAUUUCCAUCUCAGGAAUGUUGGAAGGUAGGAUGUUCUGCUUCUGCCUUAUGCUGAGGCCCACCUAGCUCAGUGGUGUCGGAUUCAGACAUUACGCUUCAUGGAGACAAAGGUUCCAGUGUGUGCAGAGCUCAUCACCGGUUCCAGUGUGUGCGGAGCUCAUCACCAGUUAUGGGAGGAGCUGAGCCAGCCAACAUUAUUGAAAGAGGUGAGUGGUGAAGACACCUUUGGGGCUUGGCGGAUUAAACAGUGGCUGCUCAGCUCAAAAGCUACAGCAUCUGGUGGGAUGAGGCGGAUUAUGUCUUACUGCUGCAAGAAAAGGUGGAUGCUGCUGGGCCUUGGAUGUAGCCAGAAGAGUUAAUGCAGACACAUGCUUCUCCUUUCCCAAGGUCUAUUGCUGUAGAGACGUCAGUGUUCCAGCAGAAAUAGAGGCAAGUUGUAAGAAGUCAUGAACAAGACAUUCAACUUAAUUUGCCCAGAGAGUUUGUUAAAUAACAAGCAUCUGGUUGAAGAGGCACAAAAUGAUGUUUUACUGUGUUCAGUCUAAAUAUUUGACCAACUUCCAUGACCUUGUUAAGUCCUGGGAAGCAAUUUAAACAUCAGAGAUCAGCAGCUCAACAGACCUCAGGUCAGUAAUUAAUAACGCAUCACCUCAAACAUGGAAAUAAAUUAGUUUUUUGCAGGAGAUUUCUCCUCCCUCCUGUCACUUGCAGGGGAGCGGGGCUGCGACAGGAACAGCCUUAAAGAGGCUCUGCUUAUUUAGAACCACAAUCAGUUUUGAAAAUAUAAACUUGGCCUGCAAGGACUUGCACCCGAAAGUGCAGAAGGGAACACACAAGUGAAGAAGAUUGACAAAGGCCAACAACACCUAGGCAGGCAAGAAAUGGGUGUCCAAAAAGACCAAGAGGCUGUAGGAACUCCCCUAUGAGGACAAGGGGCUUUCUAGUUUAGAAAAUAGUCAAAAAAGGUGGGGGUGGAGGAGUAUAAAAAUAUGCCUGAGAUUAUUCAGUGGUUGGCUGGGUGGUUGGAUGCCUGAACAGCACUCCACGCUGCAACAUUUUGUUGCAGGUCCUAAAUGGAACUUCGCAUAUAUCUCCCAGAGAAUUCUUAAUGGAAGUUCAUAAGAAGUUACCACCACCUGUUGGAUACUGAUGGAAUCUGCAGGCUAUGUGCUUAUGAGCAACAGAGGGGCCACUCAGAUCUCGACCCUCAAAGAUAAGAUUAAAAACCUCUCCCAUGGAGCAUUGAAGCACUUUUGCCAUAGAUGACUUGCAACCAUAAAGAUCCCUUGCCUUUCCCCCCUGGAUUGUAAGAAUACACUUCCCAUAACAGUAUUCAUCUUUAAAACUAAAAUGACUUGGUAAUUUUACUGCAAGGAUAAGAGCUGGGAUUUGAACUCCUAAAUAUUAUUGAAAUUCCCUUUUUUGAAGGCUGGCCAACUGGCCUAAAGGUAAACUAAUUAGUUUCUGCUACCUGUACUUAAAUCUGUACCUACCCAAAGACUUUAAAAUCCUUCGGGGAGUCUGUUCAUAAUAAACCUGUGUUGUUGUUUUCGCAAAGAGAAUUUAGAAUGGAUGUGAUUAACUAAAGUUCGAGAACCUUGGCAUUUCUGUAAUUGCAGACUGUGUUGUUCUUGUAUUUUAGGAACCACAUUAUUUCAUGUACAUGUUUUUGUAGCCUGAUAAUAUUCGCAUUACCUUUAUAAUCCUUUUAUUAAGCAAACAUGUAUAUUUUUGAUAUUGAGCAUCUGUCCAUAGGUUUCCUGGCAAUAUGAAACAAAUCUGCAAAGAGCCCCUUCUGUGCAAAAUAGCAGGACACUAAUCUGGCUUUCCCAAAUCUAGUUUGUUGACUUAAGGCUAUAUAACAACUGACGUCCAAGACAUCGUUCUUUAUUUAUUACAUCACAUCAACUUCAAAACCUUCCAUGUCCUUGCCUGCCCACUUUAUCUCUCCACCCUUAUAUCCUGACACAUGACCUUCAUUUGUUUUAACUUCACCAUCUUUCUGCUUCCACAAGCAACUCCAUCCUUUCUCCCUUGCUCCCCAUUAGGCCUCAAGCGACCUUCCACAACCCCAUGAGGCAAACACCCUUACGUUCUUCUGACCUCUCCUCAAAACCCACCAGGAUAAGGUAAAAGUAAAGGUAAAGGACCCCUGGAUGGUUACGGUCAGUCAAAGGCGACUAUGGAGUUGCGACGUUCAUCUCACUUUCAGGCCGAGGGAGCUUGCAUUUGGCCAGACAGCUUUCCGAGUCAUGUGGCCAGCAUGACUAAACUGCUUCUGGAGCGAAGGAACACCGUGAUGGAAACCAGAGUGCAUGGAAACACCGUGUACCUUCCUGCCUCAGUGGUAUCUCUUUAUCUACUUGCACUGGUAUGCUUUUGAACUGCUAGGUUGGCAGAAGCUGGGACAGAGCAACGGGAGCUCAGUCUGUCGUGGGGAUUUGAACCGCCGACCUUCUGAUCAGCAAGCCCAAGAGGCUCAGUAGUUCAGACCACAGUGUCACCUGCAUGCGACCCCCAUGCCAUGUGUUGGACCGCCCUGCUCUAGGGCUUCCAAGCUGAGGUCUUCUGAGUCAGAGGAGGGCUAUACAAUGUCUUCAGGCUGGCGGGGGAGGGGAUGAUGCCACAAGCUCUCGUUGUGGUUAGGCAAUUCUGAGGCUGGCCCUGAGAGCACUUCCCUCUCAUGGCCUGAAUCCCCAGCUUUAUUCCCUAAGGAAGGGACAACUGUGUCCAGGGUCAUUGCCUUUAGCUUGAACACAGCUGCUAUACGACAUGCUUGGAAAUCAUGCCCUGAGAGCGUAAUUGGCACCCUGCCAUAAUCUUGGUGGCCAGGGGGUGCUCCAGCAGCUGUGGAGGGAAAGAAGAGGUAUGUGAGCCCUAGCCCACAAACAUGACCCCUGUUUUCCUCAGAGAAACAAAGGUAGAAUCUAGUGUCUCAUUCAAUACCCGGAGCAGGAGAUGUAAAAAUGCCCUCCGACAAGUCAUUGUCUUGGCGGCUAUGACAAAGUCUUUUUGCUUCUUCUGUAACCAACACCUCUCUUUAUUCAUCUCCUCAUGUAUUGACAUGAAUCUACUGCUGCAAUUGCUGCUAACUCACUCCUCAAGCCCCAGUCUUCAUAGUCCCCGCUACCUCUUGGUCAUGCUGGAAGAUAGCCAUGAGAUGAUUUGGCAUAUUUCAUAGAUAGAUAGAUAGAUAGAUAGAUAGAUAGAUAGAUAGACAGAUACUUAGGAUUCUGAACAGGCUACCAUAUUCUGCAGCAAAUUCUAUAUGCACGGAAUAACCCAAGACAACCAAUCUGGUCUACAGUGCUGGUACUUCCAAUUAAUUUGAUCUUAUCUUUCCCUCAGUGGACAACCGGGUGUUCUACAUCAUCUUUAUGGUAGCAUUUUAAAACCUGGUGAAUGUUAUAUUCCCCAUUUAAUUUUCUUUUUCAAAGCCAAGUAAUUUUCUAAGCCCAGAUAUUUUUUUUCUCUCUCUCUCCCUCCUACCUCAUGCAUUACAGGCAUUUUAUACCCUCUUCUCAGGCUUUGCUACAAUCAAGCACUUCAGAAUAGUUUUUUGGUCCUUAUUCACAGCAAACGUUGUAUUUCUAAGUCUUAUUCUGCUUAUGAUCUAAGUACAACAUCCCCAAAUCCUUCUUAAUGGAAAUAUGUUUAAACAGUUAUCCCCAAUUGAGCUCUCUAGCUGGUUUGGAAAUAUCUUAACUAUUUGGGGAUACAUGUUGAAAACAUCAUUAAUAGGGAGGGGGGUUCAGAUAGGGGCAAAUCAAUGCUUUGCAAUGGUGCAGUCAGCCUUUAGUUGAAAUGGGACUAUUACUGGUGUUCCAUUGGCAUGGUUAUGUAUUGUUUCUAUGUCGAAUUGCAAUGAUGAGAAUUGAAUCAUUAGUGUUUUCCUAACGAUGGGGCAUCCACAAUUCCCUCCCCAUCCCAGCAUCAUCCCAGACCUCUCCUUUUAAUUUCAGGGUUUCUCAAUGCUUGGAAAAUUCAGAAUGACCAGGAUUGGGGGAAACCUACAUUUAAAGGACGGGGGUGGGGUGGGGGGAGGUCCAGGACAACACUAAGAUAAGGAAGACAUACAGAAGCACCCCCGCCUACAUUAGUGGGGAGACAGGCAGGUGCAAAUCCACAUUUUGCUUCAGUGCAGAUAAGCCCCAAAUGUAAUCUUUUAUUGAGUUUGCCUAACCCAGUCCUAGCCCCUCGGGUAAGAGUCUUUUCAUGUCGAACUUCAAGGAGAGAUGCUGCCUUAAAGCUCAGCACAAAAAUAAUUCUUCCCAAAUUAUACAAAUUUGAGAAAGGCUACAUUUAGCUGAAAUGGAGUAUUACUGGUAUUUCGUAGUAACUGGCAUGUUUGUUUGUGUAGUAUAUUGCAAAUACAAUUUCUUGUUCUUUUCAUUCUUGUGCGUAGGGACUUUCGCUGUGGGCAGGUUGGUGGUCAUUGAUCUCCUUAUCCUCAGUGCAUGUCUUUUAGGGGAAAAAUAGGAUCUGGUACCCCCUUGAGUACCCCCAGAAGAAAGCACUGCUUAUCCUUCUUUUCAGUUCUUCAGAUGGAAUGGUUCUUCUUAAAGUUUUGGAGCUGAGCAUUGGACAGACCAAAGACAGGGACCUGCUUUUACAGACUGUGGAUUAUUCCACGAAAGGCGCUAAGUUUCUGUCCUGAUCAAAAAAAUAAAAAAUGAAUUCUCCACCAUCCAUUCACUCAAAUUUAUUUAUUUAUUUAAAAGGUUCAUUUCGCACCAAGGGCUUCAGAACGCACACUGAUUCACAUUUCAUUGAAGUGCAGGCUUCGUUUUCCCAGGGCUUUUGAUCAGUGCCCUGUUAUUUGAUUCACACGCCUCUGUGUACUCAGAGGGAGGAAUAGCUGGAAGUUACAAGGCCAGGAUUGUCGCCAGAAACUUCUCAGAUGAAAGAACAGGCUCCUUAGAGACAAAAUGUUAAGGUGUAGAGUCACGUAGAAUGUUAGAGUAAGGGCAGCCCUUUAAAAAUCUGCUGCUUGAGAAGUUGGUAGGAAAUGCCAAAGUUCCAGAUCCCUAGAAAGUGGUUUAACAAAAUCAACAGAUUUGAUUCACAAAGAGGCAGAGCUAACCCAAAACAAUCUGGUGCCUGAGGUGCAAAAUCCAAAUGGCACUAGUGUGGUUAUGUCAUUAGGGUGUCAAGCUGGAAUUAAAGUUCUAAUUCUGGCAGAGUAAUAAUGCUCAUUUUGGCCAGUUACCAUCUCUCAGCCUAACCCUACCCCACGCAACAUUAUAAGUAAUUAUUGUUGCUACCAGUAUUAUUAUUACCACCCCUAACUUUGCUUCUGCUAAAACCCAGUUCAAGAUUUCUGAAGGAUACUCAGACUUUAGCCUGAUCCAUCAGGCUUUCCAUACGUCCUUGUGGCUUUAUAAGUCAAGGCCAGAACCUUGAAUUGUGCUAUGUUGGGCACAUGUGGACGUAACUGAGAAGGCUGCCUUAAUUGGUAGAGAAACAAAAGUGCCUCCCAUUACUUUUGCUACUGCAGAUACAGCUAAGGGUUCCUUUUCAGAUUUCAGUGAGUAGAGAAUCAUUCUUGGACAUUUUAUGUGUUGAUUAAUUUUGUUCAUCCGACACCUUCAACAAGUGUUCAUUCCCAGAAUGACUCACAAUAAAAACAGAACAAUACAAUCAAACAUUAAAUGCAAUAAUAUUUGAACAGCCAAAGAAAGAUAAAAAGAGUAAAAACACAGCAGAUAAAAACACAACUUUCUCAGUGCCUUACAAUGUCUGGCAAAGCCUAGGAAAACAAAGCUGGGUACCAGAAUGGUAGGUGCGUCUCCAUGGGGAGAGCAUUCCAAAGGUGGGUACUGCAAUAUAGUGAGUUGACAGUGAUGCUCCAAGGAUUCAGACAGAAGUCUUUCUCAGGGCCUCCUAGAGAUGUUGGGGAUUGAACCUGGGACCUUCUGCAUGUAAAGCAGAAGCUCUUCCACUGGCCUAUGGUCCCAGAGACUCUCUCU
This is a non-coding RNA of Podarcis lilfordi (Lilford's wall lizard), 6105 nucleotides long. NCBI's taxonomy places the organism in Eukaryota, Metazoa, Chordata, Lepidosauria, Squamata, Lacertidae. The record is from the annotation of a GenBank genome assembly.